UAGGGAAUCUUCCGCAAUGGGCGAAAGCCUGACGGAGCAACGCCGCGUGAGUGAUGAAGGUCUUCGGAUCGUAAAACUCUGUUAUUAGGGAAGAACAAAUGUGUAAGUAACUAUGCACGUCUUGACGGUACCUAAUCAGAAAGCCACGACUAACUACGUGCCAGCAGCCGCGGUAAUACGUAGGUGGCAAGCGUUAUCCGGAAUUAUUGGGCGUAAAGCGCGCGUAGGCGGUUUUUUAAGUCUGAUGUGAAAGCCCACGGCUCAACCGUGGAGGGUCAUUGGAAACUUGAAAACUUGAGUGCAGAAGAGGAAAGUGGAAUUCCAUGUGUAGCGGUGAAAUGCGCAGAGAUAUGGAGGAACACCAGUGGCGAAGGCGACUUUCUGGUCUGUAACUGACGCUGAUGUGCGAAAGCGUGGGGAUCAAACAGG
RNAcentral lists this ribosomal RNA (429 nucleotides) under Actinomycetes bacterium. Its description in RNAcentral is "Actinobacteria bacterium partial 16S ribosomal RNA". It matches the Rfam family "Bacterial small subunit ribosomal RNA", at positions 355 to 776 of the family's 1533-position model. Lineage: Bacteria; Bacillati; Actinomycetota; Actinomycetes. The record is from RNAcentral.